AAUAUUUUACAGAACAAAUUUGUAUCAAAUUUUGAAGAUUAUUUGUAUUAAUCAAAACAUAUGAAAUAUCCGUAAAUAUUCGUAAAUAUCCGCAAAUAUCUAUUUAUUUUCCGGAUAUCCGUUUUUCGAAUAUCUGUAUUUUUCCGAAGCAAAGCAAAUCGAAAAAUUAAAUAUCCAUGACAUACGAAACAAAUCACAAAUACUUUAAAAAAUGCGGAUAUCCGAUCCGUGCCCAUGCCUAAUUACAACUCAUCUAGGGUUUUACUUUUAUGUAGUCUUUUUAAUCAAUCUCUCUCUUUCUCUCUCUC
RNAcentral lists this long non-coding RNA (308 nucleotides) under Brassica napus (rape). RNAcentral's name for it is "long non-coding RNA (BNAP_LNC005073)". Lineage: Eukaryota; Viridiplantae; Streptophyta; Magnoliopsida; Brassicales; Brassicaceae. The record is from RNAcentral.